Molecule: ribosomal RNA, 439 nt
Filed under: uncultured Leucobacter sp.
Lineage: Bacteria; Bacillati; Actinomycetota; Actinomycetes; Micrococcales; Microbacteriaceae
Description: bacterial SSU rRNA
Rfam family: Bacterial small subunit ribosomal RNA
Source: RNAcentral
ACGGGAGGCAGCAGUGGGGAAUAUUGCACAAUGGGCGCAAGCCUGAUGCAGCAACGCCGCGUGAGGGAUGACGGCCUUCGGGUUGUAAACCUCUUUUAGUAGGGAAGAAGCGAAAGUGACGGUACCUGCAGAAAAAGCACCGGCUAACUACGUGCCAGCAGCCGCGGUAAUACGUAGGGUGCAAGCGUUGUCCGGAAUUAUUGGGCGUAAAGAGCUCGUAGGCGGCUUGUCGCGUCUGCUGUGAAAUCCCGGGGCUCAACCCCGGGCCUGCAGUGGGUACGGGCAAGCUAGAGUGCGGUAGGGGAGAUUGGAAUUCCUGGUGUAGCGGUGGAAUGCGCAGAUAUCAGGAGGAACACCGAUGGCGAAGGCAGAUCUCUGGGCCGCUACUGACGCUGAGGAGCGAAAGCAUGGGGAGCGAACAGGAUUAGAUACCCUGGUA